Molecule: small RNA, 342 nt
Filed under: Arabidopsis thaliana (thale cress)
Lineage: Eukaryota; Viridiplantae; Streptophyta; Magnoliopsida; Brassicales; Brassicaceae
Description: ATSL298640
Source: RNAcentral
AAAAUAAUUAGAAAAUAAGAUUUAAGUCUAUUUGUUUUUAUCUAAAAAUACAUCUAAAUAAUCAAUUAAAUAAUUAGGGUAUUUUUGUCAUUUAUUAAUUUUGACUGAAUCAUCUCCAUCCAAAUGAUCCAAUUAAGUUUAGCCAAAUGAGUUUCAAAAUUUAGCCUAAAUUUUCAAACUCAUCCAAAUAGAUAAUCUGAAUGAACCGUUUUUUGCACUAAACGAACAUCAAAACUCAUCUCCAUCCAGAUGAUCCAUUUGACUGAUGAAACGAACAGAGCCUAACUAGUUAUUUGUAGAGGACGGAAAAAAGUUCUUGUAAGGAAUAAUGAAAGUGGUUCA